Molecule: ribosomal RNA, 2868 nt
Filed under: beta proteobacterium AAP99
Lineage: Bacteria; Pseudomonadati; Pseudomonadota; Betaproteobacteria
Description: Bacterial large subunit ribosomal RNA
Rfam family: Bacterial large subunit ribosomal RNA
Source: Rfam by way of RNAcentral
GGUCAAGUGACCAAGUGCGUAUGGUGGAUGCCUUGGCGAUCACAGGCGAUGAAGGACGUGGUAGCCUGCGUUAAGCUUCGGGGAGCUGGCAAACAAGCUUUGAUCCGGAGAUGUCCGAAUGGGGAAACCCACCCGCAAGGGUAUCCGCAUCUGAAUACAUAGGAUGCGUGAAGCGAACGUAGUGAACUGAAACAUCUCAGUAGCUACAGGAAAAGAAAUCAACCGAGAUUCCCAAAGUAGUGGCGAGCGAAAUGGGAUCAGCCUGCACGUGAUAAGCGAUGUGUUAAUAGAACGGUCUGGAAAGUCCGGCCAUAGCGGGUGAUAGCCCCGUAUAUGAAAACCCAUUGCUGGUACUAAGCGUGCGAUAAGUAGGGCGGGACACGUGAAAUCCUGUCUGAAGAUGGGGGGACCAUCCUCCAAGGCUAAAUACUCGUGAUCGACCGAUAGUGAACCAGUACCGUGAGGGAAAGGCGAAAAGAACCCCGGGAGGGGAGUGAAAUAGAUCCUGAAACCGUACGCAUACAAACAGUCGGAGCCCGCAAGGGUGACGGCGUACCUUUUGUAUAAUGGGUCAGCGACUUACGUUCAGUUGCGAGCUUAACCGAAUAGGGAAGGCGUAGCGAAAGCGAGUCCGAAUAGGGCGUUUAGUAGCUGGGCGUAGACCCGAAACCGGAUGAUCUAUCCAUGGCCAGGAUGAAGGUGAGGUAACACUCACUGGAGGUCCGAACCCACUAGUGUUGAAAAACUAGGGGAUGAGCUGUGGAUAGGGGUGAAAGGCUAAACAAAUCCGGAGAUAGCUGGUUCUCCCCGAAAACUAUUUAGGUAGUGCCUCGUGUAUCACUGCGGGGGGUAGAGCACUGUUUUGGCUAGGGGGUCAUGGCGACUUACCAAACCAAGGCAAACUCCGAAUACCCGCAAGUGUGAGCACGGGAGACAGAGCACCGGGUGCUAACGUCCGGACUCAAGAGGGAAACAACCCAGACCGCCAGCUAAGGUCCCUAAGUGUGAUUAAGUGGUAAACGAAGUGGGAAGGCUAAAACAGUCAGGAUGUUGGCUUAGAAGCAGCCACCAUUUAAAGAAAGCGUAAUAGCUCACUGAUCGAGUCGUCCUGCGCGGAAGAUGUAACGGGGCUAAAUCACACACCGAAGCUGCGGAUCUCGUAAGAGAUGGUAGGGGAGCGUUCUGUAAGCCUGCGAAGGUCACUGGUAACGGUGGCUGGAGGUAUCAGAAGUGCGAAUGCUGACAUGAGUAGCGAUAAACAGGGUGAAAGGCCCUGUCGCCGUAAGCGCAAGGUUUCCUACGCAACGUUCAUCGGCGUAGGGUGAGUCGGCCCCUAAGGCGAGGCAGAGAUGCGUAGCUGAUGGGAAGCAGGUCAAUAUUCCUGCACCUAAGUCCAGUGCGAUGGGGGGACGGAUCGUGGAAGGUCAGCCGGGUGUUGGAUGUCCCGGUUUUCGAGCGUAGGUGGCUGUUAGGCAAAUCCGGCAGCUAAACCAAGGCAAAGAGACGAGCGAGCUUGCUUGCGAAGUGAUCGGAAGGGGUCCCAAGAAAAGCCUCUAAGCUUCAGCUGGACUAGACCGUACCGCAAACCGACACAGGUGCGCGAGAUGAGUAUUCUAAGGCGCUUGAGAGAAGUCAGGAGAAGGAACUCGGCAAAUUGGUACCGUAACUUCGGGAUAAGGUACGCCCUUGUAGCUUGACCAUGUACAGUGGAAGGGCGAAGGGGUUGCAAUAAACUGGUGGCUGCGACUGUUUAAUAAAAACACAGCACUCUGCAAACACGAAAGUGGACGUAUAGGGUGUGACGCCUGCCCGGUGCCGGAAGGUUAAAUGAUGGGGUGCAAGCUCUUGAUUGAAGCCCCGGUAAACGGCGGCCGUAACUAUAACGGUCCUAAGGUAGCGAAAUUCCUUGUCGGGUAAGUUCCGACCUGCACGAAUGGCGUAACGAUGGCCACACUGUCUCCUCCUGAUACUCAGCGAAGUUGAAAUGUUUGUGAUGAUGCAAUCUCCCCGCGGCUAGACGGAAAGACCCCAUGAACCUUUACUGUAGCUUUGCAUUGGACUUUGAACCGAUCUGUGUAGGAUAGGUGGGAGGCUUUGAAGCCGGGACGCUAGUUCUGGUGGAGCCGACGUUGAAAUACCACCCUGGUUUGUUUGAGGUUCUAACCUUGGCCCGUGAUCCGGGUCGGGGACAGUGCAUGGUAGGCAGUUUGACUGGGGCGGUCUCCUCCCAAAGUGUAACGGAGGAGUUCGAUGGUACGCUUGGCACGGUCGGACAUCGUGCCUAAAGUGCAAUGGCAAAAGCGUGCUUGACUGCGAGACCGACAAGUCGAGCAGGUGCGAAAGCAGGACAUAGUGAUCCGGUGGUUCUGUAUGGAAGGGCCAUCGCUCAACGGAUAAAAGGUACUCUGGGGAUAACAGGCUGAUACCGCCCAAGAGUUCAUAUCGACGGCGGUGUUUGGCACCUCGAUGUCGGCUCAUCUCAUCCUGGGGCUGUAGCCGGUCCCAAGGGUAUGGCUGUUCGCCAUUUAAAGAGGUACGUGAGCUGGGUUUAAAACGUCGUGAGACAGUUUGGUCCCUAUCUGCCGUGGGCGUUGGAAGUUUGAAGGGGGCUGCUCCUAGUACGAGAGGACCGGAGUGGACGCACCUCUGGUGUAUCGGUUGUCACGCCAGUGGCAUUGCCGAGUAGCUAUGUGCGGAAGAGAUAACCGCUGAAAGCAUCUAAGCGGGAAACUCGCCUUAAGAUUAGACUUCCCUGGAGACUCGAUCUCCCUAAAGGGUCGUUCAAGACUAGGACGUUGAUAGGCUGGGUGUGGAAGCGCAGUAAUGCGUUAAGCUAACCAGUACUAAUUGCCCGUGAGGCUUGACCCU